Long non-coding RNA from Orcinus orca (killer whale), 681 nucleotides. RefSeq lists it as uncharacterized. The record is from RefSeq and is a predicted model, not a curated record. The transcript is spliced from 2 exons. NCBI's taxonomy places the organism in Eukaryota, Metazoa, Chordata, Mammalia, Artiodactyla, Delphinidae.
GAUGGGGAAACUGAAGCUCAGAGAGAUCAAGUGAGUUGCUCAAGGUCACACAGCAAGCCAGGCUUUAAUCCAAGCCAGCUGGAAGGAAACAGUGAAGGGAAGAGCAUUGCCCAUUCCUUGUGAAGGUCACGACGCAGAAGUGGGUCCAGGGGAUAUGUAGCAGAGGAGCUUUCCAUUAGCUACAACUUAGUCGCAUGACUCCACCUUGCUGCAAAGAAGCCUGGGAUAUGUGGUAAAGCUGUGGGAAGCUGUGUGUCCAGCUAAGAGUCAGGUGUUCUCUUACUAGGGAAGAGGGGAAGGAACAGAUAUUGGGGGGAAUCAUUCAUAAUCUUUGCCCAAAGCAUCUGGCUCAGAGAGGCUCUACAACUGCUAUUGUUGUUGUCUCUUCUUUGAAAAACUCAGUAGGUGUAUUUGAAAGAUAUACCUAAAUACUGGAUACUGAUAUCACUCUGCAUUGGAUUUUGGAAUCAAUACAGUAAGGUUUAAAUCUCUGUUUUCAUGGCUUUGUGAUCUCUCCGAAUCCUGUUUUCAUCAGUCAAGCAGGGAUAAAGGCAUAUUAUUCAUGCAGGGGCUGGGAAAAUCAAUGAGCAUAAAGCUCAUGAACAAUGUCCAGCCCAAAGGGGGUGCUCAGUAAAGGGUCAUUUUAUUGAUAAGAAAUGUGUAUGAUAGGUAAGAACAUGA